Molecule: long non-coding RNA, 1193 nt
Organism: Gasterosteus aculeatus aculeatus (three-spined stickleback)
Lineage: Eukaryota; Metazoa; Chordata; Actinopteri; Perciformes; Gasterosteidae
Source: Ensembl
AAGUGCUUCUCGAAGCUCUCCAGAAUUCACUCUUAGAAUCCAGUAUUUUGUCCUGAGUUUUGCAAUAAGUUGAUUUCUUCCACAAUGAGCCAUCGAGGUGUGGGUGUGGUGUAGGAGUAUCUUUGACAGGUGGUUGUCCUUGGGUAGAAUAGCAGGAUGUUUGGUUUCCUCUGGCAUUGCCAGUUUACUUAGUCUGCCUCCGACUCUCAGGAUUCCAUGUUGGAGGAUAGGAUCUAGUCUAUAGAUCCUACUGUUUCUCUUUAUGGGUAAGCCCCUUUGUAGAGAGGUCACCUCAUCUUUGAAGGAUUGCUGUUGGACAUAAGACACAAGUGAUUGCUCUGCCUUGGCUAAAUCCUCCACGGACAGCUGCGACCCGGUUGGGUAGGUGUUACUAGUUUUCUUUCGUCUCAGAGUUUCUUUGAAUUUUAAGAUCCAGGCUGAUGAUCGGAUCAAUUUGUUCCAUGAUGAGAAGUGCUCAAUAAAACGAGUCAGUGGCCUUUCAUUCUGCAGUAUACUUGUAGUGAAAGCCAUGGCCACCUUCUUGACCUCCGGGUCACUGUCAUACAGCGUGGGUGGUACUUGAAUCACUGGCCAGUCAGUUUCUGGUUGCAUCAGGAAAUUUGGACCACUCAGCCAAUGUCCUUCUUGAAUGAACUUCUCGGUUUUUAUGCCUCUUGAUGCCAUGUCUGCGGGGUUGAGUUCUGUCUUUAUGUGGCGCCAUUGGAAUUUGUGCGUCAGAUCCUGAAUAGUGGACACUCUGUUGGCUACAUAGGUUUGAAACCUUCUGGCGUCAUUUUGGAUGUAUUUUAAGACAGCGGUACUGUCGGUCCAAAAGACUGAGUCCUCAAGGGUUAACUCGAGCUCUCUCCUCAACAUCCUGUCUAUCCUAGCAGCGAGAACUGCACUAGCAAGCUCCAGACGUGGAGUUGUCACCACCUUUAAGGGUGCAACUCUUGAUUUCCCAAUCACAAACAUUAUGUUAGGUAGUCCAAUUUUACUGCUAAGUUUCAAGUAGCUGACUGCCCCGUAACCUCGCUCACUUGCGUCGCAGAAGUGGUGCAUCUGUGCUCUAGCAACUUCAAAAUCUUGUGGCUUAAGGCAUCUCCUGAUUCUUAGGCUGGAAAUCAGGUUAAGAUCUUUUAGCCAUUCCGUCCAUCUCUCUGUGUAAGCAGUUGGUAUUGUUUCAUCCCAUC